This 85-nucleotide transfer RNA is filed under the name Felis catus (domestic cat). It matches the Rfam family "tRNA". Rfam says of the family: Transfer RNA (tRNA) molecules are approximately 80 nucleotides in length. Their secondary structure includes four short double-helical elements and three loops (D, anti-codon, and T loops). The record is from Rfam by way of RNAcentral. Lineage: Eukaryota; Metazoa; Chordata; Mammalia; Carnivora; Felidae.
ACCUGGGUGGCUCAGUCAGUUAAGCACCUGAUUUCAGCUCAGGUCAUGAUCUCACAGUUUGUGGGUUCGAGUCCCGCAUCGGGCU